RNAcentral lists this ribosomal RNA (587 nucleotides) under uncultured bacterium. RNAcentral describes it as "bacterial SSU rRNA". It matches the Rfam family "Bacterial small subunit ribosomal RNA", at positions 338 to 916 of the family's 1533-position model. The record is from RNAcentral.
CCUACGGGAGGCAGCAGUGGGGAAUUUUGGACAAUGGGCGCAAGCCUGAUCCAGCCAUUCCGCGUGAGUGAAGAAGGCCUUCGGGUUGUAAAGCUCUUUCGGCAGGGAAGAAACGGUGCGGGCCAAUACCCCGCACUAAUGACGGUACCUGAAGAAGAAGCACCGGCUAACUACGUGCCAGCAGCCGCGGUAAUACGUAGGGUGCGAGCGUUAAUCGGAAUUACUGGGCGUAAAGCGUGCGCAGGCGGUUUCGUAAGACAGAUGUGAAAUCCCCGGGCUCAACCUGGGAACUGCGUUUGUGACUGCGAGACUCGAGUGCGGCAGAGGGGGGUGGAAUUCCACGUGUAGCAGUGAAAUGCGUAGAGAUGCGGAGGAACACCGAUGGCGAAGGCAGCCCCCUGGGUCGACACUGACGCUCAUGCACGAAAGCGUGGGGAGCAAACAGGAUUAGAUACCCUGGUAGUCCACGCCCUAAACGAUGCCAACUAGGUGUUGGGGAAGGAGACUUCCUUAGUACCGAAGCUAACGCGUGAAGUUGGCCGCCUGGGGAGUACGGUCGCAAGAUUAAAACUCAAAGGAAUUGACGG